RNAcentral lists this ribosomal RNA (504 nucleotides) under Triticum aestivum (bread wheat). RNAcentral's name for it is "partial small subunit ribosomal RNA". The record is from RNAcentral. Lineage: Eukaryota; Viridiplantae; Streptophyta; Magnoliopsida; Poales; Poaceae.
AUGAAAACUCAGGUCGAGAUGCUGAAACCGGUGACUUUGGACGCAGCUAUGGACUUAGCAAUCUCCUUUGAGCACCUCAAUACUGUCACCAGCACCGUGACCACUCCAGGCCGGCCCAACCGUCCACUCCGCCCCAUGGCUGCACCUACUCCGGCCUUGCCGGACUCCUCCAACUCCACGCCCGCACUCGUCUUUAAACGACUCACGCCCGUCGAGAUGGAUGAACGGCGCGCUAAGGGUCUCUGCUUCAAUUGUGACGAGAAGUUCGCGCGGGGCCAUCGCUGCAAACGGCUGUUCUAUAUUCAAUCCGCCGACGCCGAAGAGGAGCAGUUUGAGGAUUUCCAGGAAGCACAAAUCUCACUCUUGGCUGUUACCGGAAUUCCCACCAGCGACACAAUGCAGGUCACUCUUCGCGUCGGGGACCGUGACUUGGUCGCCUUGCUUGAUUCAGGCAGCACUCAUAACUUUCUCCUCCAAUCGUCGUUUGGGAGUCACGGUCACUAA